CCAGCCGCGUGCCUUCAGACGGUCCUCCUCCGCGUCCCUACUCAUCUGCUGCCUCCUCAUCUGCUACCUCCGGCCCGCCACUGCCGCUCGCCGACGCCGUGCACGCAUGCCGCGCGCGCCACCGCCGUGGACGCUCGCCUCCGAGCGGAGCUGCGGUUGGCGAACAGGGCGGGGCACAGCGGCCGUCCCCGGCCCGGCGGGCGACUGUGGACUGUGGAGGCGUCUCCCCGGUCUCCUCGAGCUCCGGCGGCGGCCUCCGGAUCCGGCCGGAGCGGACCUCGAGCGCAGCACAGAUGGCGUCCAUGGCCGGCGCGGCCCUCCUCCCUUUCCCUCCUCCCUCGGCGACGCGGGUCCAUAGCCUCCCUCCUCCAUCCUGCGGCGGCUUGCAUGGCCGGCGCGGCGGAGACGGCGUCCAUGGUCGGUUCGAGAGGGCACGUCGACGGCGCCCUCCAUUGCUUGCGGAUCUGCCCUCCAUGGCUUGCGGAUCCAUGGCAGCAAUGGCGGGUGCCCGCGCGGCGCCAUGGCGGUGGCAGCGGCCGGAUCCGAGCCAUGGCUGCUGCGCGCGGGGCUAGCGGCGGCCGUUCUCCUCCUCUGCCCCCUCACCUGCCGCACGCCAUGGCGGGUCUCCUCGAGGUCCACCGCGCGACUUCGGCCGGGCCGGACCUCCUCGACCUCAGCCGCGCGAGGCUGUCUUUCUUCCCGGCGCACCCCCUCGUCCCUCUCCCUCCUCCAGAUGCCGGCGUCGGCGGCAGAGGUGGGCUGCGUCGACCUCCGCCGCGCGCCAUGGCGGACCGCGACGGCCUCCGCAGCGUGCCAUGGCGGGCCGCCUCGAGCUCCGCCGGCCGGAUCCGCACGCGGUCACCAUGGCAGAGCUCGUGGCGGCGUCCAGCGGCGGUGGUACCCCGCACCUGCAGUACCCACUACCUGCAGUACCCCGCACCCCAGAACGCCGGCCAGCCGGGCGGCCAGUGCCGCCGGCAUCCAUGGCCAGGAGCGCUUCGAGCUCUCCUAUUUAGGCAGGGGCGGCUCCAAAUGGUGGAUCGGGUCUCGCGUUUCGUCGUCCGCCGCGCGUCUCGACGUCUCUCCGUCUCGGACUGUCUCUCGGAGUCUCUCCGAAUCCAAAACGCUCCGCGUCUCUGCUCCCUCGGUCAGUCCGUGCAGGUUUUGGGGCAGCGGCAUGGCGCCGCGGUGGCCGGCGAGCGGCGGCCGCAGGUACUGCCGAUUCGUCCGCGCUUGGAAAUUUGGGAGCUGCCACCAGUACCGAUCUCCUCUGCCCUCCCAUACCGCCCCCACCCCUGCAUUUCGUUGGAAGCAGCAACUUGCAUGCAGUUGCUGAGGAAUCGAUCCUGCUGCAUCAAACCCCCAGCGAGAUCUGAACCUUUCCUCCUCCCUACUAAGGUUGCAAUCCCUGUGGCUAAGAAUGAAUCUACAGAACUGACUUCUCCAAGCAGCAGGCGAUUAGCCUAAUCUGUUUCCCUGUGGAUAAUAAGUUGGGUGAACAUUGCAAUAUGAAAGAGAAACAUUGCAACAUGGGGAAGAUUUUAUCUCGGAGAUGUAGGCGAUGGUGCUGCUUCUGAAGCUCAUCGUCAACAUGGUCAUGGGAAGAGCAUGAAUACCUUUAUCAGAUAGAAGAUCCUGCGGCAUGAUUUUAUUUCAACCCGAAUUUCCCGCGGCAUGCAGAUAGAAGAUCUCUGCCUAGCUGCAUAUGGGGAUUUGAUUUUUGUUUCAGUAUCAGAUCGCUUCUAUAAUGCUGGAUGGGUGCCAGUAUUAUGCUGGGUUGAGUUUGUGCCCCCAUCCCCCUUCCAGUGGAAAUUUUGCUGCUGCUGUAUUUAACAUCCUAAGGUUAUUUUGACUUUUUUCUUAUAUGUUGCUCAUGUAGGUCAAGUACCUCGGAGAAGAAGGUGAAAGCACCCCUGCAGCUGGUGUUACAUUUAUUUGCUCACCCUGGGAGCUGCUGAGAAUGCUGCAGUGAUUGUGAACCCAAAGGGAGAGAUGAAAGAAGCAAAGCAUAGGAAAAGAAUGCCAUUCUACUGUAUUUGGGGGUGACUUCACGGUGACCUGCUCAUCCUUCACGUACAACUCUGAAACUGUACCUGUCUGCCUCCGAUUUUGACCGCCCCGUCUUCUUUUCCCAUCAAGGCUGCUGGAUUGGCGACUGCUGCAGGGGUUGGAAUGGGUGCUGUUGGUGCAGUGGGGGUCCCUCGCCGCCUGCCUCGUUUGCGUCGUGCGCGUCGCAGAUUCUUACUUCGGCUUCUCCCUUUCACAUUUGCCCCCGUGAACGGCUGGUUGAAGCGUUUGUGCGCCAAGAAGUCAUUUCGCAUGUAUUAUUAUCAUGGCCUUCUAUGUUGCUUUAAAAUUAUUUUCUUAUGGACUGUGGUGGUCUCAUUUGCUGCUCAUCAGAGUCUUCCAGUAAGCAUGUAUCCUAUGGCGAGGAAAAAAAUAUGUACA
This is an RNA transcript of Panicum virgatum (switchgrass), 2448 nucleotides long. RefSeq lists it as uncharacterized. Lineage: Eukaryota; Viridiplantae; Streptophyta; Magnoliopsida; Poales; Poaceae. The record is from RefSeq and is a predicted model, not a curated record. The transcript is spliced from 8 exons.